Molecule: long non-coding RNA, 294 nt
Organism: Xenopus tropicalis (tropical clawed frog)
Lineage: Eukaryota; Metazoa; Chordata; Amphibia; Anura; Pipidae
Exons: 3
Source: RefSeq, a predicted model, not a curated record
UUUCCCGCGAAACUAACUCGCGCCGAAAGUUCUAAGGGGCGUGGCUAGUUCGAUACGGUCACGCCUAUCACUCCUCCCAGGACCUGAAAGAAAGCUGUCGACAGAAAAGUUUAUGAAAAACACGAGGCAUUCAUGAGAGCUUCAGCAUUUGGGAACAAAGGCCUUGGUGUCUUUGAGCUUCAUUGUCAACGUUAUCUCUUUGGCUACAACGAUGUGACUGCAUGUGAUGUUCUGCAAAUGUACAGAAGAGCCAUAACCAUUUCUGAGAAAGCCGUUGUCAAGGUUACAUCACUG